RNAcentral lists this ribosomal RNA (292 nucleotides) under uncultured bacterium. RNAcentral describes it as "partial 16S ribosomal RNA". The record is from RNAcentral.
GGACUACCGGGGUUUCUAAUCCUGUUUGAUCCCCACGCUGUCGCGCCUGAGCGUCAGUAACGGGCCAGUGAGCCGCCUUCGCCACCGGUGUUCUUCCCAAUAUCUACGAAUUUCACCUCUACACUGGGAAUUCCACUCACCUCUCCCGUACUCAAGCUCCACAGUUUCGAAGGCAGUUCCAGAGUUGAGCUCUGGGCUUUCACCCUCGACUUGAGAAGCCGCCUGCGCGCGCUUUACGCCCAGUAAUUCCGAACAACGCUAGCCCCCUUCGUAUUACCGCGGCUGCUGGCAC